Molecule: ribosomal RNA, 433 nt
Filed under: uncultured bacterium
Lineage: Bacteria
Description: partial 16S ribosomal RNA
Rfam family: Bacterial small subunit ribosomal RNA
Source: RNAcentral
AACGAACGCUGGCGGCAUGCCUAACACAUGCAAGUCGAACGAGACCUUCGGGUCUAGUGGCGCAUGGGUGCGUAACGCGUGGGAACCUGCCCUUAGGUUCGGAAUAACUCCCCGAAAGGGGUGCUAAUACCGGAUAAUGUCUUCGGACCAAAGAUUUAUCGCCUUUGGAUGGGCCCGCGUUGGAUUAGCUAGUUGGUAGGGUAAAAGCCUACCAAGGCGACGAUCCAUAGCUGGUCUGAGAGGAUAAUCAGCCACACUGGGACUGAGACACGGCCCAGACUCCUACGGGAGGCAGCAGUGGGGAAUAUUGGACAAUGGGCGAAAGCCUGAUCCAGCAAUGCCGCGUGAGUGAUGAAGGCCUUAGGGUUGUAAAGCUCUUUUACCCGGGAUGAUAAUGACAGUACCGGGAGAAUAAGCUCCGGCUAACUCCGUG